This 497-nucleotide ribosomal RNA is filed under the name uncultured bacterium. Its description in RNAcentral is "partial 16S ribosomal RNA". It matches the Rfam family "Bacterial small subunit ribosomal RNA", at positions 28 to 507 of the family's 1533-position model. The record is from RNAcentral.
GACGAACGCUGGCGGCGUGCCUAAUACAUGCAAGUUGAGCGCUGAAGGUUGGUACUUGUACCAACUGGAUGAGCAGCGAACGGGUGAGUAACGCGUGGGGAAUCUGCCUUUGAGCGGGGGACAACAUUUGGAAACGAAUGCUAAUACCGCAUAAAAACUUUAAAUACAAGUUUUAAGUUUGAAAGAUGCAAUUGCAUCACUCAAAGAUGAUCCCGCGUUGUAUUAGCUAGUUGGUGAGGUAAAGGCUCACCAAGGCGAUGAUACAUAGCCGACCUGAGAGGGUGAUCGGCCACAUUGGGACUGAGACACGGCCCAAACUCCUACGGGAGGCAGCAGUAGGGAAUCUUCGGCAAUGGACGAAAGUCUGACCGAGCAACGCCGCGUGAGUGAAGAAGGUUUUCGGAUCGUAAAACUCUGUUGGUAGAGAAGAACGUUGGUGAGAGUGGAAAGCUCAUCAAGUGACGGUAACUACCCAGAAAGGGACGGCUAACUACGUG